This 265-nucleotide ribosomal RNA is filed under the name uncultured prokaryote. RNAcentral describes it as "partial 16S ribosomal RNA". It matches the Rfam family "Bacterial small subunit ribosomal RNA", at positions 524 to 788 of the family's 1533-position model. The record is from RNAcentral.
UACGUAGGGCGCAAGCGUUGUCCGGAAUUAUUGGGCGUAAAGAGCUUGUAGGUGGCUUGUCGCGUCUUCCGUGAAAACCCGAGGCUCAACCUCGGGCGUGCGGUGGGUACGGGCAGGCUAGAGUGUGGUAGGGGAGACUGGAACUCCUGGUGUAGCGGUGAAAUGCGCAGAUAUCAGGAAGAACACCGAUGGCGAAGGCAGGUCUCUGGGCCAUUACUGACACUGAGAAGCGAAAGCAUGGGUAGCGAACAGGAUUAGAUACCCU